RNAcentral lists this long non-coding RNA (1007 nucleotides) under Gouania willdenowi (blunt-snouted clingfish). Its description in RNAcentral is "lncRNA (ENSGWIG00000015213.1)". Lineage: Eukaryota; Metazoa; Chordata; Actinopteri; Blenniiformes; Gobiesocidae. The record is from RNAcentral.
GGGGGCGGUGCUCGGUUCGUUCCUCCGUCGCAGAAGAAGAAGUGUUUUUUUCCGGCGGUGCUUUCGGAGCGACUCAGUCUAGUUUGAGCAUCAGGAGCUUUAUUUGGUUCAUUUGGUUCAUUUGGUUCGUUUGGUUCGUUUGGUUCGGUUCUGAAGGAUCCAAUGUAUCGUGACCGGCCCCCAACGAGGGGCGGAUACCCACGGCCCUACCCGCCGGCCUUCAGGUCCAAACAUCCGUACGACCCGGCCUACAGCCACCACCGGGACCCGGGCCCGUACCGACCCUACCCGAACCACCACAACCACCCCAGCCCGGGGGAGUACCGGUCCGGAGGGCCGAGCUCUGAGUCCUCACACUUUGAACCAAACCUGCUCAUCACCGUCGGCAACCAGCCCGGCAAAUCUACAGGUCCCGCCCCCUCACGCCACCCUGACAGGGGCUUUCUGCCCCGUCCUGAAUAUGAGCGCGUUCGGGGGCGGAGCAAGAGCCGGGGGCGGAGCAAGAGCCGGGGGCGGAGCAAGAGCCGGGGGCGGAGCAAGAGCCGGGGGAGGAGCAAGAGCCGGGGGCGGAGCAAGAGCCGGGGGCGGAGCAAGAGCCGGCACUUCAGUCCGGACCAUGAACGCGCCAAGAGCCAGGAGCGGAGCAAGAGUCGCCCUCGCAGUUGGUCUCGGUCCAGGUCCCGGUCUAAGUCCAGGUCCAGAGGACGAAGCAGAGGGAGAUCUUAUGGGCAGAGCCAAGUAUCCGGCCACGCUCGCAGCAAGAGCCGCCCUCGGAGCCGCAGCAGCUCCAGCUCCUCCAGCGGCAGCUCCAACAUGUUCCUGGACUCAGCGUUCUCUGAGCUGGGGAGGGCCCGCAGACAGAAGGAGAUGGACGACCUCCUCAACAUUCCCACAAAGUCCAUCCUCAAAAAGUACAGCGACUCUCCCUCAGUCACGGUAAGACAUCCAUCCACUAAUUUUUCCCAAAUACUGUUUUCCACAUUAAUUUUUUAAAAUUCCGUGUUUUA